GAUGAAGAACGUAGCGAAAUGCGAUAAUUAAUGUGAAUUGCAGAAUUUAGUGAAUCAUCGAAUCUUUGAACGCACAUUGCGCCCCUUGGUAUUCCGGGGGGCAUGCCUGUUCGAGCGUCAAUUCAACCCUCAAGCUCUGCUUGGUCUUGGGCCGCGCCGGCAACGGCGGGCCUCAAAAACGGUGGCGGCGCCAUCUGGUCCCUCAGCGUAGUAAUUCUUCUCGCUGCUGGGCCCCGGUGGCCGCUUGCCAGCAACCCCAAACUUUCUAUGGUUGACCUCGGAUCAGGUAGGGAUACCCGCUGAACUUAAGCAUAUCAAUAAGCGGAGGA
Molecule: unclassified non-coding RNA, 329 nt
Filed under: soil metagenome
Description: partial contains 5.8S ribosomal RNA, internal transcribed spacer 2, and large subunit ribosomal RNA
Rfam family: 5.8S ribosomal RNA (bases 1-120)
Source: RNAcentral